UUGGGGGACGCCUCAAUGUCAAAUCCAAUCCAUAUAGAGAUCUCUACAAGUAUUACACUAGUGUACAUGAGGACGUGAGAUAAUGAGUCUACUAUCGAACCACCAUUCGUUAAUGGAUAUCAACUUAGUUGAUUGGCCUAAUGGAAAGAUGCGAUCCAGCAUUAACAAAGAGAUAGGUCCUUGGGCAGGUGAUGCCGACACCGCAAGCUAAACUCUAUCAACUUUACCUUUGUUAGAUAGCGUAGUGAGAACAAGAGCUUAGACUCACCUUAUGGCGCAAGGUCUCUCACUAACACGCACUGGGAUCAACUACGAUGAGAUAUGCUCUCGUAAUGGAUGUCAUUGAACUCCACUACUUUGUCAGUUUGGUAGUUUCCGAAUAACUGAACAUGCAGCCUAUGAAUGUGGUCAUAAUAACAUCUCUAUGGGAUCAGAGAUAUACAUGAAGGUCUUAAACAGACUUCAUUCAUCUGAAUCAAGUGGCUCCAAACCAGAGGAGCAUGCGUUUGCUAAAUGUAUUGAAACGCACAUGGACUCUACUUGAUUUGGAAGGGAUAUGGUGAAUUAUGCCUUUGCGUGUUCAUUCUGGAUUUACAUGGACUCUUGAUCGAUCAAGAGAUGCCAAUAUGUAUCAACAUUCGAAGAAAAAGAUCUUGGGAAGACAUGGUUUCGAUAAGGCACUCGAUGACUGUAUUGAUGAUGAUUUUUCAUCAAUCGGCUUAGGCGCUCUAUAACUAGUGAGGCCUACAUAUACUCCCAUGAUUAGUCAAGGUCUUUACUCUAAAGAGAGAUCCGUUGUUUUGUCUAAAGCAAGAUGACAAAUAUGUGUUAAGAGAUGGAGUUUCCAUCUAAGUAUAAUUAGACGCAUCAAUGUACUCAACACAAUACGAAAGACUUAACAUCUCAUUCGCUAUGAAAAGUUGUAAAGCUAAGUGUAGCUAUGCGCCCACGCAACGCCAAUGUAAUGGCAGUAACUCCUUUUUCAAUACUUAAUGGUAUGAAAGGUUGAGGCUUAUUCUAUCCCUACAUAAGAAAGACACAUCAAAAGCGAAAUCAGAAUCUGCCAAGUUUUGUAGGUCAACUUCCACGGGACCUAUAGGAAAUCUCACUCACUGGAAAAUGGUGAAAUUGGUACCAUUGGAAAGGUCUAUGUGUCUACUUUUCAGAGACACCAACCAUUUGAUCAUACCUAUCAUAUUGAGUGAGUUAUGGCCGUUUUCGUAAAGUAGGACGAAUCUGUCCGAGAAUCUGAUUUUGGCAAAACAGUCAACUUCGACCGGAUUUUGUGAACAGCUCCUGAUGAACCAUUGAAAAGUUAGUAUGCUCAAACUACAUACAGUAUAAUUAGUCUAGGGGUAAACAAAUGAUAUUCAGACUAAAAAGGAGUAGAGAAACUCAAUCAAACCAUAAAUGAAACAAUGAAAAAAAAAAUCCACAAAUCUAAAUAAUUGAAAAUAAUUUGCAAAGACGACUCACCCGAUGAAAUUUA
RNAcentral lists this long non-coding RNA (1489 nucleotides) under Fragaria vesca (wild strawberry). Its description in RNAcentral is "long non-coding RNA (FVES_LNC005165)". The record is from RNAcentral. Lineage: Eukaryota; Viridiplantae; Streptophyta; Magnoliopsida; Rosales; Rosaceae.